This 253-nucleotide ribosomal RNA is filed under the name uncultured bacterium. Its description in RNAcentral is "partial 16S ribosomal RNA". It matches the Rfam family "Bacterial small subunit ribosomal RNA", at positions 524 to 776 of the family's 1533-position model. The record is from RNAcentral.
UACGAAGGGGGCUAGCGUUGCUCGGAAUUAUUGGGCGUAAAGCGCACGUAGGCGGCUUUGCAAGUCGGAUGUGAAAUCCCUCGGCUCAACCAAGGAAGUGCAUCCGAAACUGCAGAGCUUGAGUACCAAAGAGGAUCGCGGAAUUCCCGGUGUAGAGGUGAAAUUCGUAGAUAUCGGGAGGAACACCAGUGGCGAAGGCGGCGAUCUGGGUGGAUACUGACGCUGAGGUGCGAAAGCGUGGGGAGCAAACAGG